AUUGCUUAAUAUACCGGUUCUCGUUAGAUCACCGAAGUCAAGCAUCAUUGGGCGCGGUCAGUACUUGGGUGGGUGACCACCUGGGAACACCGCGUGCCGUU
This 101-nucleotide ribosomal RNA is filed under the name Caerostris darwini. Lineage: Eukaryota; Metazoa; Arthropoda; Arachnida; Araneae; Araneidae. The record is from RNAcentral.